Molecule: ribosomal RNA, 253 nt
Filed under: uncultured bacterium
Lineage: Bacteria
Description: partial 16S ribosomal RNA
Rfam family: Bacterial small subunit ribosomal RNA
Source: RNAcentral
UACGUAGGGGGCAAGCGUUGUCCGGAUUUAUUGGGCGUAAAGAGCGUGUAGGCGGCCAUUCAGGUCAGCUGUGAAAACUCGAGGCUCAACCUCGAGACGUCGGUUGAAACCGUAUGGCUAGAGUCCGGAAGAGGAGAGUGGAAUUCCCGGUGUAGCGGUGAAAUGCGCAGAUAUCGGGAAGAACACCCAUGGCGAAGGCAGCUCUCUGGGACGGUACUGACGCUGAGGAGCGAAAGCGUGGGGAGCAAACAGG